ACCGGUCUCAGUUCGGAUCGCAGUCUGCAACUCGACUGCGUGAAGCUGGAAUCGCUAGUAAUCGGAUAUCAGCCAUGAUCCGGUGAAUACGUUCCCGGGCCUUGCACACACCGCCCGUCAAACCAUCUUAGUUGGGGGUGGGUGAGGCUGCGCUUUUUGGCGUAUUCGAGCCUGCCUUCGACAAGGAGGGUUAAGUCGUAACAAGGUAUCUGUAGGGGAACCUGCAGAUGGAUCACCUCCU
Molecule: ribosomal RNA, 241 nt
Filed under: Candidatus Poseidoniaceae archaeon
Lineage: Archaea; Methanobacteriati; Thermoplasmatota; Candidatus Poseidoniia; Candidatus Poseidoniales; Candidatus Poseidoniaceae
Description: partial 16S ribosomal RNA
Rfam family: Bacterial small subunit ribosomal RNA
Source: RNAcentral